GGAAAGACUGGAGGCUAAAUAAAAACUAGAAUUGUACUUUGAUGGGGAAUGAUUAUAAAACUCAAAUGAUAUAAUAUGGAAAAUAUUAAUAUGGUUCCUGGGACACGGUAGGUGGUCAAUGAGUGUGAGCUCUCCCUCAUCAAUGAAGAAAGCCUGGGAGAUUCAGGAGAGGCAACAUAUUAGGGACUCUUUCCACUGCCAGGCUCCAGCGUACACCAAUUCAACUGUGGGAUAG
Molecule: long non-coding RNA, 235 nt
Filed under: Capra hircus (goat)
Lineage: Eukaryota; Metazoa; Chordata; Mammalia; Artiodactyla; Bovidae
Description: lncRNA (ENSCHIG00000006110.1)
Source: RNAcentral